UCGAGCGGUAGCACAGAGAGCUUGCUCUCGGGUGACGAGCGGCGGACGGGUGAGUAAUGUCUGGGAAACUGCCUGAUGGAGGGGGAUAACUACUGGAAACGGUAGCUAAUACCGCAUAACGUCGCAAGACCAAAGUGGGGGACCUUCGGGCCUCAUGCCAUCAGAUGUGCCCAGAUGGGAUUAGCUAGUAGGUGGGGUAACGGCUCACCUAGGCGACGAUCCCUAGCUGGUCUGAGAGGAUGACCAGCCACACUGGAACUGAGACACGGUCCAGACUCCUACGGGAGGCAGCAGUGGGGAAUAUUGCACAAUGGGCGCAAGCCUGAUGCAGCCAUGCCGCGUGUGUGAAGAAGGCCUUCGGGUUGUAAAGCACUUUCAGCGGGGAGGAAGGCGGUGAGGUUAAUAACCUCGUCGAUUGACGUUACCCGCAGAAGAAGCACCGGCUAACUCCGUGCCAGCAGCCGCGGUAAUACGGAGGGUGCAAGCGUUAAUCGGAAUUACUGGGCGUAAAGCGCACGCAGGCGGUCUGUCAAGUCGGAUGUGAAAUCCCCGGGCUCAACCUGGGAACUGCAUUCGAAACUGGCAGGCUAGAGUCUUGUAGAGGGGGGUAGAAUUCCAGGUGUAGCGGUGAAAUGCGUAGAGAUCUGGAGGAAUACCGGUGGCGAAGGCGGCCCCCUGGACAAAGACUGACGCUCAGGUGCGAAAGCGUGGGGAGCAAACAGGAUUAGAUACCCUGGUAGUCCACGCCGUAAACGAUGUCGAUUUGGAGGUUGUGCCCUUGAGGCGUGGCUUCCGGAGCUAACGCGUUAAAUCGACCGCCUGGGGAGUACGGCCGCAAGGUUAAAACUCAAAUGAAUUGACGGGGGCCCGCACAAGCGGUGGAGCAUGUGGUUUAAUUC
Molecule: ribosomal RNA, 899 nt
Filed under: Klebsiella pneumoniae
Lineage: Bacteria; Pseudomonadati; Pseudomonadota; Gammaproteobacteria; Enterobacterales; Enterobacteriaceae
Description: bacterial SSU rRNA
Rfam family: Bacterial small subunit ribosomal RNA
Source: RNAcentral